AGGAAUAUUGGUCAAUGGACGAGAGUCUGAACCAGCCAAGUAGCGUGAAGGAUGACUGCCCUAUGGGUUGUAAACUUCUUUUAUACGGGAAUAAAGUGAGGCACGUGUGCCUUUUUGUAUGUACCGUAUGAAUAAGGAUCGGCUAACUCCGUGCCAGCAGCCGCGGUAAUACGGAGGAUCCGAGCGUUAUCCGGAUUUAUUGGGUUUAAAGGGAGCGUAGGCGGACGCUUAAGCCAGUUGUGAAAGUUUGCGGCUCAACCGUAAAAUUGCAAUUGAUACUGGGUGUCUUGAGUACAGUAGAGGCAGGCGGAAUUCGUGGUGUAGCGGUGAAAUGCUUAGAUAUCACGAAGAACUCCGAUUGCGAAGGCAGCUUGCUGGACUGUAACUGACGCUGAUGCUCGAAAGUGUGGGUAUCAAACAGGAUUAGAUACCCUGGUAGUCCACACAGUAAACGAUGAAUACUCGCUGUUUGCGAUAUACAGUAAGCGGCCAAGCGAAAACGUUAAGUAUUCCACCUGGGGAGUACGCCGGCAACGGUGAAACUCAAAGGAAUUGACGGGGGCCCGCACAAGCGGAGGAACAUGUGGUUUAAUUCGAUGAUACGCGAGGAACCUUACCCGGGCUUGAAUUGCAACUGAAUGAUGUGGAGACAUGUCAGCCGCAAGGCAGUUGUGAAGGUGCUGCAUGGUUGUCGUCAGCUCGUGCCGUGAGGUGUCGGCUUAAGUGCCAUAACGAGCGCAACCCUUAUCGAUAGUUACCAUCAGGUUAUGCUGGGGACUCUGUCGAGACUGCCGUCGUAAGAUGUGAGGAAGGUGGGGAUGACGUCAAAUCAGCACGGCCCUUACGUCCGGGGCUACACACGUGUUACAAUGGGGGGUACAGAAGGCAGCUACACGGCGACGUGAUGCUAAUCCCUAAAGCCUCUCUCAGUUCGGAUUGGAGUCUGCAACCCGACUCCAUGAAGCUGGAUUCGCUAGUAAUCGCGCAUCAGCCACGGCGCGGUGAAUACGUUCCCG
This 1016-nucleotide ribosomal RNA is filed under the name uncultured bacterium. RNAcentral's name for it is "bacterial SSU rRNA". It matches the Rfam family "Bacterial small subunit ribosomal RNA", at positions 357 to 1376 of the family's 1533-position model. The record is from RNAcentral.